UAUGAGAGUUUGAUCCUGGCUCAGGACGAACGCUGGCGGCGUGCCUAAUACAUGCAAGUCGAACGCUUCUUUCCUCCCGAGUGCUUGCACUCAAUUGGAAAGAGGAGUGGCGGACGGGUGAGUAACACGUGGGUAACCUACCCAUCAGAGGGGGAUAACACUUGGAAACAGGUGCUAAUACCGCAUAACAGUUUAUGCCGCAUGGCAUAAGAGUGAAAGGCGCUUUCGGGUGUCGCUGAUGGAUGGACCCGCGGUGCAUUAGCUAGUUGGUGAGGUAACGGCUCACCAAGGCCACGAU
This 298-nucleotide ribosomal RNA is filed under the name Staphylococcus aureus 2009-60-800-3. RNAcentral's name for it is "partial 16S ribosomal RNA". It matches the Rfam family "Bacterial small subunit ribosomal RNA", at positions 1 to 280 of the family's 1533-position model. The record is from RNAcentral. Lineage: Bacteria; Bacillati; Bacillota; Bacilli; Caryophanales; Staphylococcaceae.